Molecule: ribosomal RNA, 425 nt
Filed under: uncultured bacterium
Lineage: Bacteria
Description: partial 16S ribosomal RNA
Rfam family: Bacterial small subunit ribosomal RNA
Source: RNAcentral
GUGGGGAAUCUUGCGCAAUGGGCGAAAGCCUGACGCAGCCAUGCCGCGUGAAUGAUGAAGGUCUUAGGAUUGUAAAAUUCUUUCACCGGGGACGAUAAUGACGGUACCCGGAGAAGAAGCCCCGGCUAACUUCGUGCCAGCAGCCGCGGUAAUACGAAGGGGGCUAGCGUUGCUCGGAAUUACUGGGCGUAAAGGGCGCGUAGGCGGAUCGUUAAGUCAGGGGUGAAAUCCCAGAGCUCAACUCUGGAACUGCCCUUGAUACUGGCGAUCUUGAGUGUGAGAGAGGUAUGUGGAACUCCGAGUGUAGAGGUGAAAUUCGUAGAUAUUCAGAAGAACACCAGUGGCGAAGGCGACAUACUGGCUCAUUACUGACGCUGAGGCGCGAAAGCGUGGGGAGCAAACAGGAUUAGAAACCCUAGUAGUCC